Molecule: long non-coding RNA, 2357 nt
Organism: Lagopus leucura (white-tailed ptarmigan)
Lineage: Eukaryota; Metazoa; Chordata; Aves; Galliformes; Phasianidae
Exons: 2
Source: RefSeq, a predicted model, not a curated record
GCCGAGCGGCCCGGGGCCUCCUUUCGUCUCGUUCUUCCCGCACGGUUGCACUGCGAACGGACGCGCGCGGCCCGAGGAGGCGGCUUUCCUCCCGCAGAGCCGCAGCUGCGUCCCCGCCUGAGGCCGCGGUGCAGCACUGAGAGGGCACAGGGGCACUGCGAUAAAAGGCUUGUUAAUUCCGCACCGUACAUUCGUACCGUUAGUUUAAUUACUUCGGCCUUCAGCUGCUCCCAGGGAGCGGAGGGGCAGCUGAGCUCUGCUGCUCUGCAAGAGCAGCGACUGAGCCCCGGGGAACGGCACAGAGCUGCGGCCGAGCAGGGGUGGGUACAGAGAGGCGCUGCCCCAGGGCAGCGGGCACGGCCCGGCACGGCCCGGCACGGAGCUGCUCUUAGAAACACAGCUUGAACGUGGCGUCAUCGCGUGUGGAGCCAGCAGUUGGACUCACACCUUGUGGGUCCCCUUCAGGACUGUCUGUCAUUCUGUACUUAACACCUAUUGUAAUACAAAUAUUGGUGACAGAAGUGCUGCGCAGUGCACGUGCUUCAGAGUUUGGAACAGCCUAAAUGCAAAAGGCAGGAAGGAGAGCUUCACAAAAAAUAUUUUUAAUAUGUUUUUACCAGAAUUUUUCACUUUUCCAGUUACAUAGAAAAAAGGACCGGUUUGGUACGUGCUGGCUGGAAUACCUAAAACCGACCAGUGGAACAGGUUUGUCUGCACGGAUCGUUAAAACUCCUGAAUCUUCCAGCUCCACUGCGCUCAUCUCUGCCAAGCAAAUGAGCAAAACCGAGAGGAGAGGCAGGCCUUCAUCUGCUGCAGCACAUAAGCACGUUGCUGGGGAUUCCAGCAGAGGCUCACUUCCCUCAGAUACGUAUCCACCCUGCUCUUUUUGUUCCUCCACCUUCCCUAGUCUCUGUACCAGCCUGUCACACCCAGGUUAUAAGAUCCUGCUUUCAAACUGAGCGCCAGCACCUCUUUGUAAUAAAACAAGUACCUUGAAGGACAGACGUCUCUCAGUGGUUUGGAGAUGAUUCCAGCCUGAAAACAUUCCUCUACAAACCGCUCAAGCACAGAAUAGGAGUGUGGCACAUCCAGGUUAAUGUCUGGUAUUUCACAGUAAACUCGUUCAUAGCCCUGUAGUUUAAGGAUGCAAAUAAUGAUUUGGUUGUUCUGGAAUUACAGUUUUCUAAACAUCUUUUGGCACUCAGAAGAGGACUUCUUUUUAAUGCAAUUUCAUGUAUUCUUUAAGCAGUUUCAACAAACUGAAAGCAGAACACCUGCAAAUUAGUGGCAAAGCAAGGUGUCAUACCAGCCCGUUCCAAGAGCUGGUGUUACACAACAGCGUAUCUAUAUGAAUACACUAGCUGAGUAUUUCAGCUUCUUAAAAAGACAAAUCCAGACAGUACAGACUGCAUACGAUAGCCUAGCUGCUAGUAACACAAGGAAGAAGGAUUAAUUGCUCUGCCCUGUAGAUAGAGUGAAGGCCACACAUCUCAAUGAGAGAUGCAAUAAAUUACAAAUAGCGUUUAAAAGAAAAUAGAAGCUACUUGAAGAUCUCGCCCAGCAUUCUUUCAAUGCCAUACUUACUCUUUUCAUUUGGUCCAUAGUAAUGACAGAAGACCUCGAGAGAGAUUUCAGCAAAUCCAGCAUCAUUUUAAAGGUCUUUUCUCCAGUUGACUCCAAAACCAUCACAAUUGCCUAAAACAAACCAUGCAGAGGUUUUAACUAAAAAUAAAAUAGUGGUUCAAGUACAUGCUGUGUAAGCAUACCCACGUGCAAAGAAGAGUGAACAUAACACUGUUUUCUGGGAGACAAGUCCAGUUGCUACAAGCAGUCCCAAUUUGAAAGGAAAGCCAGAUAGAAAGUUAUUUGUGUAAAGAUAGAAGGUAUGAAAAAAGAGAAAGGACCAGACAGAGUGAAGAGCCCUGCCUACUGUGAGGGGUACGUGACUGCAUCUGCAUGGCUGCUGCAGCACUGAUGGCAAUUAAUUUUGUAUCUAGGAUUUUAGAACAAGAACUCCUAAGUUCAAAAUGUACCAGUCUCCACAAACCCCAUCAACAACAGGUAUCAGUUUUCUAUCCUAGAAUAAGGAGUCAAUUUAUUGAAAAGAUGAUUUUAUAACUUUGAGUGUUUGGCUUUCUUGGUAAACAACCAUUUCAGCUACUAGAUACAGCAGAGUUCUUUCUCAUAUAGCGUGGUUCUGAAUUAUCUCAGCCUUCUACACAUACUUAGAUGGAACAGUUCCACACUGAAAAGGAAACUACAACUUAGCAAAGACAGGUAACACCUGUUAGUAUACCCAGAUGUCUGAAAUCUGUUGUAAUGUGUAAUUAAAAGGAAAUAAACUCCAAUACAACCUG